Molecule: unclassified non-coding RNA, 378 nt
Filed under: plant metagenome
Description: partial contains 5.8S ribosomal RNA, internal transcribed spacer 2, and large subunit ribosomal RNA
Rfam family: 5.8S ribosomal RNA (bases 1-105)
Source: RNAcentral
GAAAUGCGAUAAGUAAUGUGAAUUGCAGAAUUCAGUGAAUCAUCGAAUCUUUGAACGCACCGUGCGCUCCUUGGUAUUCCUUGGAGCAUGCCUGUUUGAGUAUCAUGAAAUCUUCAAAGUAAAUCUUUUGUUAACUCAAUUGGUUUCUACUUUGGUAUUGGAGGUCUUUGCAGCUUCACACCUGCUCCUCUUUGUUCAUUAGCUGGAUCUCAGUGUUAUGCUUGGUUCCACUCGGCGUGAUAAGUUAUCUAUCGCUGAGGACACUGUAAAAGGUGGCCAAGGUAAAUGCAGAUGAACCGCUUCUAAUAGUCCAUUGACUUGGACAAUACUUUUAUGAUCUGAUCUCAAAUCAGGUAGGACUACCCGCUGAACUUAAGC